UGGAAAACUCCCUGGAAAGGGGAAAAAGAUCUCGGUAAUCCCGGUGCUGGUGAGAGCGGACAAGCCAAGCCAGACGUCUGUGAGCUGUGGAACGGAUCACAGAUAGAGGAGCUGAGAGAAAGCUGACCCUGAGGUCAGAGAUGAAGAUAAUUACAACUGAAACAGUGGUGACAGAACUCUGGUGAACACCUGCUUAAGAAUAGAGGUUUAAAGCAGAAGUAACUUCCUAGAGAAGAACCUGGAAACUCAUCAGCUGCAGAGACAAACAGACGGCCCAAAGAGCAGAAGAGCGAGCACGCAGAUGUGAACCGUAUCGAGACCGCAGUUGAUGGCUGAACGCCUUUGAUCCCGCGUGCGAG
This is a long non-coding RNA of Poecile atricapillus (Black-capped chickadee), 359 nucleotides long. RefSeq lists it as uncharacterized. The record is from RefSeq and is a predicted model, not a curated record. Lineage: Eukaryota; Metazoa; Chordata; Aves; Passeriformes; Paridae. The transcript is spliced from 3 exons.